AUUGAACGCUGGCGGCAGGCCUAACACAUGCAAGUCGAGCGGAUGAAGGGAGCUUGCUCCUGGAUUCAGCGGCGGACGGGUGAGUAAUGCCUAGGAAUCUGCCUGGUAGUGGGGGAUAACGUCCGGAAACGGGCGCUAAUACCGCAUACGUCCUGAGGGAGAAAGUGGGGGAUCUUCGGACCUCACGCUAUCAGAUGAGCCUAGGUCGGAUUAGCUAGUUGGUGGGGUAAAGGCCUACCAAGGCGACGAACCGUAACUGGUCUGAGAGGAUGAUCAGUCACACUGGAACUGAGACACGCUCCAGACUCCUGCGGGAGGCCGCAGUGGGGAAUAUUGGACAAUGGGCGAAAGCCUGAUCCAGCCAUGCCGCGUGUGUGAAGAAGGUCUUCGGAUUGUAAAGCACUUUAAGUUGGGAGGAAGGUCAGUAAGUUAAUACCUUGCUGUUUUGACGUUACCAACAGAAUAAGCACCGGCUAACUUCGUG
Molecule: ribosomal RNA, 484 nt
Filed under: uncultured bacterium
Lineage: Bacteria
Description: partial 16S ribosomal RNA
Rfam family: Bacterial small subunit ribosomal RNA
Source: RNAcentral